This 62-nucleotide transfer RNA is filed under the name Escherichia coli 8.0566. RNAcentral describes it as "partial tRNA-OTHER". It matches the Rfam family "tRNA", at positions 16 to 71 of the family's 71-position model. Rfam says of the family: Transfer RNA (tRNA) molecules are approximately 80 nucleotides in length. Their secondary structure includes four short double-helical elements and three loops (D, anti-codon, and T loops). Further hydrogen bonds mediate the characteristic L-shaped molecular structure. tRNAs have two regions of fundamental functional importance: the anti-codon, which is responsible for specific mRNA codon recognition, and the 3' end, to which the tRNAs corresponding amino acid is attached (by aminoacyl-tRNA synthetases). tRNAs cope with the degeneracy of the genetic code in two manners: having more than one tRNA (with a specific anti-codon) for a particular amino acid; and 'wobble' base-pairing, i.e. permitting non-standard base-pairing at the 3rd anti-codon position. Lineage: Bacteria; Pseudomonadati; Pseudomonadota; Gammaproteobacteria; Enterobacterales; Enterobacteriaceae. The record is from RNAcentral.
UUGGUUAGAGCACAUCACUCAUAAUGAUGGGGUCACAGGUUCGAAUCCCGUCGUAGCCACCA